This is an RNA transcript of Daktulosphaira vitifoliae (grape phylloxera), 2145 nucleotides long. RefSeq lists it as uncharacterized. The transcript is spliced from 9 exons. The record is from RefSeq and is a predicted model, not a curated record. Lineage: Eukaryota; Metazoa; Arthropoda; Insecta; Hemiptera; Phylloxeridae.
ACAGAAGCAGUGCCUGUGAUGUAUCUGCAGUAUCGCGUACAGUUCAUGUCAAGUAACGCUCAACUUCGUCAAAUAUCUGCGAUUGCAUGUUUCACUGUAGUAGUAUUACAUCUAUCAUUAUUAGUCUAUAACGUAACCGGAAGAAUAUAAGUACUUAAAUUCUUCUGAGUGAUAAAAGAAGAGGUUAUAUUAUUUCGUAGAAUAACAUUUUGGGUCAACGUCUAUUUUUAAAUGAAGAAUUAGUUAAGUAUUAAUAAAAAUUAAAAUACUUGUCACAUUUUCAAUCGAUCACUGUUGUACAUUCAUUUUUUAUCAAUGUUGUUUUUAAAGCAUAUAUUAAAACUAACUGUUCUUUGUAAUCAUAUUGCAAUUGUAUUUGGUAAUAAUGAUUUGAUAGCAAAAGAAUAAGACUACUAAAAGAAUAACAUGAAGGUGUAUAUCUCACAGUUCAUUAAGCCUCGAAGAUGGCCAGUCACCUUAGAACCAAUGCUGUUCCUUUUCUUUUUGUCCUACAUGAUUUCUAUGAUUGUAAACAGUAAUAUGGUUUACUGGAAAGGAUGCAAUUUAAAUGUCACAGAAGAACCAGACAUUGGUAUCAUAAAAUGCGAGGGAGAAGACAAAGACAAGUCUCUAAAAGAAAUGGCGUUAAUCAACAUAUGGAAGUUGAUUGCGCAAGAGAUAAUAGGUUUAUCUUUUAUUGUAUUUGCGGGUCCUUGGAGCGAUAAUCACGGUUGCAGACGCCUUCCGCUUCUAUUCUUACCUGUGAUCGGUCAAAUCACAGGCGAUCUUCUCAACAUCUUUUCCGCCGUUUACUGGAAUGAAGUAACCCCUGCUGUCACAAGCAUCGGAUUUACGUUGGUAACCACAAUUACCGGUUCCAUGUCCUGUUUCUUCAUAGGAAUGUAUUCAUACCUGUCUGAUAUUACCGAUAAUACUAAUAGAACCAUGCGAUUGGGUUUCGCUAGUGCUGUAGUACCUCUUGCUGCAACAAUCGGUCCAAUAUUAUCAGGCAUCUUAAACGUAAAGAUCGGAUUCAUAAACGUUUUCCUAUUCAACAUACUUUUAAACAUAUCUGGCCUGUGCUUUGGUAUAUUAUUGAUUUAUGAUUCGUCCGACCCCAAUAAAGUAAUCAAGUCUACUUUGAAGAGCACGUUUGAUCCAAAAAUCGUAAAGAAUAUUAUUACCAUAGUUUUGAAGGAAAGGAAAAAUCAUAAAAGAACCAUCCUUCACUUGAUGAUGAUUGCAUCGGCAAUAAUUAUGGCUCCAUUCUUAGGGGAAAUGUCAGUGAUGCCUUCAUAUUUAAGAAAGACAUUUAACUUUACUGAAAUUUCUUUCAGCCAGUUCUAUUCAUACUUGAUGGGAGUUAUGUUGAUCGGCACAACAAUAUCAUUAGGUAUUUUCAGUCGUAUUUUUCGUAUGAAUGAUUCUUUAAUCGGAUUAAUUGCUACAGUUUUUGAUCUUGCAGCCGCUGUCGCCUUUUUCUUAGUAAGAGAUGCGUGGCUUAUAAUGUUUGUUCCAUUAUUACAACUUUUUAGAGGAGCAUCACUCGCUAUCCACGGAGCAAUUGCUUCAAAAUGUGUAGAACCGUAUGAAAUAGCGUCAAUGAACUCUUUUAGAUUAGUAAUCGAAGGUUUGUUCAAAGCUCUUGUGUUACCUAUGUAUAACAUGAUAUAUUAUGAAACAUUAAACACAUACCCUAGUGCAUUCUUUUUAUUGACCGUCGUUUUAACUAUUCCAUGUCUUUUCAUAUUUUCAAUUACUUACUAUUUAACUCGGACUGAAUCUGAAGAAAAUUCUACUGAGAAGAAUACAACGAUUAAAACAUAAAGCCAUUGAAUCAAUGCGAAAAAGGUAAUGCUUAAAAUAAUAUAAAACGUGUAUUAAAAAACUAAAAAAAAACUGUGAAUAUUUUCCAAAAGUCGAUGUAUCAAUAUUAAUAAUUUUACAAAAGAUCAAAACCAAAAUAAAAUUUUUCAGUGGAAUCACAUUUUUGCGAAUUAUCAGUCUAUGGAUACAAGUCACAGAAAUUAUAAUUUAGAGAAAAAGGGACAUAUUGGCUAUAAUGAAUGGAACUGAAGUUGUCAUUAUGAUUUUCUAGUGCCCCUCUGAUAAUUCCUAACAAAAUAAUUAGUCAUUAUUUUAUUU